GACGAACGCUGGCGGCGUGCUUAACACAUGCAAGUCGAACGCUGAAGACCUGGCUUUUGUUGGGUUGGAUGAGUGGCGAACGGGUGAGUAACACGUGAGUAACCUGCCCUCUUCUUUGGGAUAACGCCCGGAAACGGGUGCUAAUACUGGAUAUUCACUGGCCUUCGCAUGGGGGUUGGUGGAAAGGUUUGUUCUGGUGGGGGAUGGGCUCGCGGCCUAUCAGCUUGUUGGUGGGGUGAUGGCCUACCAAGGCUUUGACGGGUAGCCGGCCUGAGAGGGUGACCGGUCACAUUGGGACUGAGAUACGGCCCAGACUCCUACGGGAGGCAGCAGUGGGGAAUAUUGCACAAUGGGCGAAAGCCUGAUGCAGCGACGCCGCGUGAGGGAUGGAGGCCUUCGGGCUGUAAACCUCUUUCGCUCAUGGUCAAGCCGCAACUGUGGGUUGUGGUGAGGGUAGUGGGUAAAGAAGCGCCGGCUAACUACGUG
Molecule: ribosomal RNA, 486 nt
Filed under: uncultured bacterium
Lineage: Bacteria
Description: partial 16S ribosomal RNA
Rfam family: Bacterial small subunit ribosomal RNA
Source: RNAcentral